UUUGGGCUUUAUAUGCUAGACUGGUGGGAGCGUUGUCUUUUCAAUAUCUUGGUGAUUGUACUUCUGUGGUUUGUACUCUACAACUGGUCACGACAUGUUAAUGAAUUCCUCAAGAGGUCUGUAUGGUGAGAAUGAGAGAAUCAUUCUCUUUAGGAAGGUGCCGAUGUGGAUUUUGAUGCUGAUGCGAGAUUCGAGAUGUUUAAGUAUAUUGCAGCUGCACCUAUAUCUAGAUAUUCUUGGUAUUCAUAGUUUUACUUAUCUAGGUAAGCUAAGCCAAUAAGUAGCGGCCAUGUGAAUCUGCGAUAAGGACUCAGACUCAUUUGACAUGUGGAAGUCAGCUUUUGGGGUGUUCGACAAUCUCUAAACCAUGGUUUCAGAAGCACUUUUAUGUAAAACGAGACAAAUUCCUUCAUAUAUUUAUUUCGUAAACCGUAAAAGCACUUCUGAAACCAUGAUUUGGUUUUAUCCAAACACUCUCUAGAA
Neltuma alba is the source of this 483-nucleotide long non-coding RNA. RefSeq lists it as uncharacterized. The transcript has 3 exons. NCBI's taxonomy places the organism in Eukaryota, Viridiplantae, Streptophyta, Magnoliopsida, Fabales, Fabaceae. The record is from RefSeq and is a predicted model, not a curated record.